UAACACAUGCAAGUCGAACGGGAUCCAUGAGAGCUUGCUCUCGGAAGAUCUAGUGGCGAACGGGUGAGUAACACGUGAGAAACCUGCCUGGAGUGGGGAAUAACUCGGGGAAACCCGAGCUAAUACCGCAUACCCUUGGAUGAUCGCAUGGUCGACCAAGGAAAGAUUUAUCGCUCUAGGAGGGUCUCGCGGCCUAUCAGCUAGUUGGUGGGGUAAUGGCCUACCAAGGCAACGACGGGUAGCUGGUUUGAGAGAACGAUCAGCCACACUGGGACUGAGACACGGCCCAGACUCCUACGGGAGGCAGCAGUGGGGAAUCUUGCGCAAUGGGCGAAAGCCUGACGCAGCAACGCCGCGUGCGGGAUGACGGCCUUCGUGGUUGUAAACCGCUUUCAGCAGGGACGAAAAUGACGGUACCUGCAGAAGAAGCCCCGGCUAACUACGUG
This 446-nucleotide ribosomal RNA is filed under the name uncultured bacterium. Its description in RNAcentral is "bacterial SSU rRNA". It matches the Rfam family "Bacterial small subunit ribosomal RNA", at positions 49 to 507 of the family's 1533-position model. The record is from RNAcentral.